RNAcentral lists this ribosomal RNA (232 nucleotides) under uncultured bacterium. RNAcentral describes it as "partial 16S ribosomal RNA". It matches the Rfam family "Bacterial small subunit ribosomal RNA", at positions 118 to 347 of the family's 1533-position model. The record is from RNAcentral.
UGAGCAAUCUGCCCUUCUCAUCGGAAUAAGCGUUGGAAACGACGUCUAAUGCCGAAUACGACCUCCUUUCGCAUGAUCGGAGGUGGAAAGCUCCGGCGGAGAAGGAUGAGCUCGCGGCCUAUCAGCUUGUUGGUGUGGGUAAUGGCCCACCAAGGCGACGACGGGUAGCCGGCCUGAGAGGGUGACCGGCCACACUGGGACUGAGAUACGGCCCAGACUCCUACGGGAGCAG